Molecule: long non-coding RNA, 344 nt
Filed under: Setaria viridis
Lineage: Eukaryota; Viridiplantae; Streptophyta; Magnoliopsida; Poales; Poaceae
Description: long non-coding RNA (SVIR_LNC007769)
Source: RNAcentral
GCGCCUGGCGUAUGACCCUGGAUUUCAAUUCGACCAAUCAUAUUGAUCUUCACUCACUGCAACUGGAUUUACUUGUAUCACUUAACUCCGAUGGCGGAAACCGACCGGUAGGAGUAUGUCGUUACACUACCAUUGCAGCAAGGGCCCGAAAACAGGACAUAGAUCAAACGGAAAACUCGCAUAUCUCCAUAUGCACACAUCCCGAAUCCAAAACUAAGCAGCUACGACUCUGAUACCACUAUUGGGAUACGAGGUAGGAUACACUAGCGCAAAUCAAAAUUUCUACCGCGUAAAACCAGGAAGAACUGUCGUAUAAGGAUCACGGGAUUACCACUCGACGCACU